This is a long non-coding RNA of Onychomys torridus (southern grasshopper mouse), 3219 nucleotides long. RefSeq lists it as uncharacterized. The transcript is spliced from 4 exons. The record is from RefSeq and is a predicted model, not a curated record. Lineage: Eukaryota; Metazoa; Chordata; Mammalia; Rodentia; Cricetidae.
AGAGCGCUGGGGAAGCCGGGCUGACCGCGGGGUGCGGCACUGGGGACCCUCUCUCAGAGCUGCGCUCGCGUGUCCAUGGAGAAGCACCGAUCCCGCCACCCACCUAGCACCAGCUACAGCGAGCGGGUAGUGAACACGGAGUCCUCCGCCCUAGGAUAACAGUGAUCCACAGGAGACCAGCGGUGGGGUCGUCCUCUACCGCUGACAGAGAGCCAACCCUGAGGUCGCGCGGGCUGUGGCUUUGGGCUGAGCGGACAGGCGAGCGGCAGCAACACACCCGCACGCAGCCGGCCACGCCCGGCCCGUUCUCCGGGUAAGGGACCCCUACUUACCCCAGGCAGCCCUGCAGACAGCCGGGCGCGGCUCCCGCUGCUAAGCUACUCCCGCCGCUGCCGAACUUUCCCUCCUUCCCACCAGUCGGCCGAGGGCUGGGCUCCACCUCCUGCUCCGGCAGCCACCGAGCCUCCAGGGACUGGGGGAGGGAGAGAGGGAGGGGAGGGCAGCGCCGACUGAACAGCAGCCAAGCACCGUGCCCGCCUCGGGGUGGGAGCCCCCGAGCUCGCGUAGUGGAGGCAGCGUGGGCCUCGGGGCUGGGGUCGCGCCUGGCUGCAGUCACCGGAUUCCACCAGGGCCCUUCUGCAGUGCGUCCGGUUCCUGAGCAGAGCAGGGCACUGUCACUGCAGAGACCGUGCGUGGAGAGCAGGGUCUUCUGCACCACAGAGCCUUCAAGCCUAACUGCUCACUGACAUCCGGAGAAGUUGGUGGAAGGGACACUGCUGGAGGCUGUGCCCCAAGGGAGAGGUGGCUCAGAGUCUAUCCUAGCAAUCCAGGAGGUCUGAAAGGAGGAAAUAUCCUUCCCAUUUUCAUCUUCUCUCCACAUGACAGGCAGGAGCCAUUCUCCGAAGUGACACUUCCAACCGUGUAGGUAUGGAAGAGGCCUGUGAAAGCAACUCCCUCUGGAAGUCUGUCUGGCUGAAGCUCCAGUGUAUCAGCCAUUUACUAGACUCAGCCUCUCUUCCAGUCCCGCCAUCAAUCAGUCUACAUGCAAGAGUUAGGCAGCUGAGGGUCUAUCAGGCUUCAGCAGCCACUUUUUGGAAUAGAAGUUGUCACAUGAACACAGAGAAUGGUUUUCAGUCCGAGUCCUCAAGACUAUGUCCUUCCUGACACCUCAAUGCAGCUCAGACUCCCUAGUUGCAAAUGGGGAGUUAACUGUUCUACUGUGGAGACGGGAGGUGUGCAAAGUCUACUUACAAAUAGAAGUCUGCCCAGUCCUACUCAGACCCUCCUUCCAUGACAUCACUCAGACCAGAUAAAUCAAGAGGCCCACCAAGCAGCUUCUAAGGGCAACAAUUUAUAACAAGAAACUAACAUAUCAUUGAAAUAAACUAGCAGUAUAGCCCUAGUUAACCUGAGUAAAAUGUAAUGGGUCUCACAACUUUUGAAACAGACAUUCUGGAAAUGGAUAAUUUGGAGCGGGCAACCAAGUACCACAGACACGUAAACAGCUCUGCUGCCGAUUUGGCAAUGCAUACGUAUGUACUAAAUAGUAAUUAUUGCAUCUGCUUGACUUCUGGAUCAGAUAGUGUACGGCAUAAUGCUUACUGAAGUGAAUGUCUUUUUAUUACAUAAAUUUAAAACUUUUAAUAUACAUCCUGAGAGGCUGCCUAAAUUAAAAGACUAACAAUGGAAAAUAGAACUGCAAAUAAGGACUGCAGAAAAACUGGAAAACAAAUCCGUUUUCAGCCGAUAAGAGUCUUGCUAUGUAGUCCCACUGUAAGAAGGAACCAAACUGAAGCCAUAAUGAAUAAAACUUCAUUUUGAAUAUGAGUCAAAUAAGGCUGAAGUUUCCAAGACCUCCCUGGGAGACUGACAUCCUGGUUGGCAAGUUGAGACAUGAAUGCUGGGCAAGCCACUCAGCCACAGCUGAAUAAGCCAACCAAUGAGAACAGGAUAAAUGUAACACCAAGAAAUGUCCCUAGGAAGAUCCCGCAUUCCUGAAUCCUGAUAGGUGGAAAAUGGCACAGAUGUCUGUGGCUUUCGUGACUUUUGUGCUUAAAAGUUCCGUAGUGUUCUGGCUCGGGGUCGCAGUUCAGCUCCUGAGUCUAUUUUGCAUCCUUGAUCGACAGGUAGCAGCUUGAUUACAGUAAACUUCGCUUUCUCUGCAUUGACUUGGUGUUUGAGUUGUGUUGGACCCAGGUGGACCUCAUAACACCACUGGCCUUGAACUCAUGGCAAUCUCAAGCUCCCAAAUGCUGGGAAAACAGAUGUUGCCACCUGGUGGCAACUUCUCUUACAAAAACAUAUUUUCUAUAGUUCUAUCUGGUACUAACAUAUCAUUUCAUUGUUAUCCUCAUUUCUUGUCUAGGAUAAUUCUUCUAAACUUACACUUGUUAACUUGUAUGUACGUGUGUGUGCACAGGCCACAGCACGUAUGUGGAAGUCAGGGGACAACUUGUAAAGUCAGUUCUCUUUCCCGCCAUGUGGGUUCCAUAAAGAUUACGCCUGAGCCAUCCUGCCAGCCCUAUAAUUUUGUGAUAGGAUUAGAAUUAUACCUCUUUCGGAGAAUAGAAUGUGUCCCUGGAACGUGGUGACUCUCUUACAGCUCAAAUGUAGUACAUUUGUGAUUUUAUUCUCUGAUCAAAGCAUGGGUACAUUGACCUAUUGCUCUUAACUCUUCUUGUACAUAGUAGCAGUUGUGAGGGUAGAAGCAUGGGUACAAUGUCAGCAGGAUGUGUCUCUCUCACCUUGACCACUAGAUGUCAGUAACAUGUCCCCACUUAUUAACCCUGUCAGGACAAUCAAAACUGUCCUAACCCACAAGCUGAAAAGCACUGUUCUGGGACAUUCCUGAUGCAAGCGACACCUAGACACUCCACAGUCAAAUUAUCUUUUAUACUUCAUUCCUAUCUUGCCAAAUGAAUCUAUUUUAAUGUACUAUUCAAAAGGCUUUCUUUUUUCCAUAAAAAAAAAAAACCUCUUUAUGUAUUUAAGGUUAUUUCCCAGACUGUAUUUAUCAAUAAUUAUUGACACAAGGUUAUGAAUGUAUUGACAAGUUACUAAAUGUACCAAUUCACACCACCAUUAUCUCUCAUUUGAAACACUAUCUUGACUCUUCAUUGAAACAAUAAAAUUUCUGUCCAUCUUAAAGGAUAUUGGCUUCUCUUAAGCUGUGGAUUGUGAUCUGGUAAUCCUUUGCUUUACAUCUAAUAUCCACUUAUG